RNAcentral lists this ribosomal RNA (466 nucleotides) under uncultured bacterium. RNAcentral's name for it is "partial 16S ribosomal RNA". It matches the Rfam family "Bacterial small subunit ribosomal RNA", at positions 28 to 507 of the family's 1533-position model. The record is from RNAcentral.
GAUGAACGCUGGCGGCGUGCUUAACACAUGCAAGUCGAACGGUGAAAGAGAGCUUGCUCUCUGGAUCAGUGGCGAACGGGUGAGUAACUCGUGAGCAAUCUGCCCCUGUCUCUGGGUUAAGCGCUUUAAACAGCGUCUAGUACCUGCUACGAGCUGCGAUGACCUCUUCAGCAGCUGAAAAAAACUUCGGUCAGGGAUGAGCUCGCGGCCUAUCCGCUCGUUGGUGAGGUAUCGGCUCACCAAGGCGUCGACGGGUAGCCGGCCUGAGAGGGUGACCGGCCACAAGGGGACUGAGAGACGGACCAGACGCGUACGGGAGGCAGCAGGGGAGAAUAUGACACAAUGGGCGAAAGUCUGAGGCAGAAACGCCGCGUGAGGGACGAUGGCUUUCGAGUUGUAAACAUCUGUGAGCAGGGAAGAAGCGAAAGUGACGGUACCUGAAGAAAAAGCGACGGCUAACUACGUG